AGCGAACGCUGGCGGCAGGCUUAACACAUGCAAGUCGAACGGUCCUUCGGGAUAGUGGCGGACGGGUGAGUAACACGUGGGAACGUACCCUUAGGUUCGGAACAACACAGGGAAACUUGUGCUAAUACCGGAUAAGCCCUUCGGGGGAAAGAUUUAUCGCCUUUGGAGCGGCCCGCGUCUGAUUAGCUUGUUGGUGAGGCAAUGGCUCACCAAGGCUACGAUCAGUAGCUGGUCUGAGAGGAUGGCCAGCCACCCUGGGACUGAGACACGGCCCAGACGCCAACGGGAGGCAGCAGUGGGGAAUCUUGCGAAAUGGGCGAAAGCCUGACACAGCCAGGCCGCGUGGAUGAUGAAGGUCUUAGGAUUGUAAAAUCCUUUCGCCGGGGACGAUAAUGCCGGUCCCCGGAGAAGAGCCCCCGGCUAACUUCGUGCCAGCCGCCGCCGUAA
Molecule: ribosomal RNA, 447 nt
Filed under: uncultured bacterium
Lineage: Bacteria
Description: partial 16S ribosomal RNA
Rfam family: Bacterial small subunit ribosomal RNA
Source: RNAcentral